UUCUUCGUAGCACAGUGGUAGUUGCACCGAGCUGUUAUUCACUUUGUGUGUCUGAAUGGUACUCGGGGGUCGCAGGUUCGAGCCCUGCCGAGGAAG
Filobasidium floriforme is the source of this 96-nucleotide non-coding RNA. Lineage: Eukaryota; Fungi; Basidiomycota; Tremellomycetes; Filobasidiales; Filobasidiaceae. The record is from the annotation of a RefSeq genome assembly.